CAGCACAGGAAUAUUCAGUUGUUCAUAACGGCGUGUGGUGCAGACCACCAGCUGCCUCGCUGUCAACUCAUUGCCGACGCCUUUCGUCUGUGACAGCUUCAUCCACGCUGCGUAACUCGUAUGGGCUGCACUCUGGAUCAUACAAGUAACCCUGAAUAUUAGACUUGCUAUCUUCUAAAUAAUCCAGAGCAGGUCAUCCUGCCAUUGAUUAUUUGUGCUGUAGGUGUACUGUAUGCAAGGAAAACAAUUGCAGACUGAGCAGUUGCAUUCCUGCAGCCUGGCUCCGCCCCCAACUUACCGUUGCUGGGGCAGCUAAAGAGGAAAUCAGGAGGCAUUAGUUGUAGUUUUUGAGCCCAUGGCAAACCAUCUGCCAAGGUGUUUUACCGGAUGAAUAAAUGAUAACUUAUCUUAAUAACUUAACUUAUUAACUUAAUUUAUAGCAUAGAAAUUAUGGAGCAAUCUGAGUGUCCCCUUAUCAAUAAAUAUUACUCAACAUCAUUUUGGUCAACCCCCAUUGAAAAUCGCUGAAGAUGUCAAUUUAACAGUGUCACACAGGAACUGGUAGAAAGGCCUAGAACAAGCAGUCUAAGUAAAAAGAAAUGUUUACAACUUAAUAACACAUAAUUAGAAUUUAGUGGUAGCCAAUGUGAUUGUUCGUCUAUACAGCUUUUGAUACAUUCUUAUGUUUGUGCUUUUCUGUUCUGUAGGUUUCAUCAAUCUCAGAGCUAUGAGCAUGAGGUUGCUGUCCACCCAGUUCUUGUGGAGCUUUCUUCACUUUUAAAUGCCUGGGGAUGACUGGAGAUGACUGGAAAUACAUCUAUGGACCUAUGAGCUGAAGUUUUUUUUUGUCAAAGCUUUACACAUGUUUUAUGAGGAAAAAAUACAUUUUGGCAACCUAACAAUUACACACAGUUGUUUUGCUGUGAGCCACUGCCUGUAAACAUAACUAUUUACAAAAAGCCCACAGGAGACCUUUCACAGGGAUCGAUGACUUACUGCUGUGCUGAAUGUCAGGAUGUCUGACAGAGGACACACAGGCUGCUGGAGGGACGCCAGAGGACCAGAGGACAAAUCCUGACUUCACGAUGUCCACACAACAUCAGCAUGAUGGUCUGUGUGUGUGUGUGUGUGUGUGUGUGUGAGUGUGUGUGUGUGUGUGUGUGUGUGUGUGUGUGUGUGUGUGUGUGUGUGUGUGUGUGUGUGUGUGUGUGUGUGUGUUUGCCCAUCGAUUCUCAGUAGUCAGAAGGAGAAGCAUGGACUUUUCUGAGAAUGUACACACACACACACACACACACACACACACACACACACA
Molecule: long non-coding RNA, 1312 nt
Organism: Betta splendens (Siamese fighting fish)
Lineage: Eukaryota; Metazoa; Chordata; Actinopteri; Anabantiformes; Osphronemidae
Exons: 3
Source: RefSeq, a predicted model, not a curated record